Molecule: long non-coding RNA, 221 nt
Organism: Notothenia coriiceps (black rockcod)
Lineage: Eukaryota; Metazoa; Chordata; Actinopteri; Perciformes; Nototheniidae
Exons: 3
Source: RefSeq, a predicted model, not a curated record
CCCAGUUUUGGCCGUGCAGGCGUGGAGUGUUACUGUCAGCAUGAGAGCGGCGCGGCGGUGAUUCAGCUGCAGUUCCUGAUCAACGAGGGGGCGCUGGUGAGUGCGUUGGCUGACGACAGCAUCCACCUCUGGAACCUGAGGCAGAAGAUCCCUGCUGUGCUGCACUCACUCAAAUUCAGCAGGGAGAGAAUCACUUACUGCCACCUGCCCUUCCAGAGCAA